GACGCUGGCGGUGCGCCUUAUGCAUGCAAGUCGAGCGAAGCUUUUCAGUAGUUUACUACAGAAAAUGACUGAGCGGCGAACGGGUGAGUAACGCGUGAGCAACCUACCUUAGUUACUGGGAUAGCCCGAGGAAACUCGGAUUAAUACCGGAUAUUCUUAUUUAAUCACAUGAUUUUUUAAGGAAAGGUCAGCCGAACUAAGAUGGGCUCGCGUUCUAUCAGCUAGUUGGUAGGGUAAUGGCCUACCAAGGCUACGACGGAUAGCUGGUCUGAGAGGACGAUCAGCCACACUGGGACUGAGACACGGCCCAGACUCCUACGGGAGGCUGCAGCAGGGAAUAUUGCGCAAUGAGCGAAAGCUUGACGCAGCGACACCGCGUGUGGGAUGACGGAUCUAGGUUUGUAAACCACUUUCAGGAGGGAAGAAAAUGACGGUACCUCCACAAGAAGCCCCGGCCAACUACGUGCCAGCAGCCGCGGUAAUACGUAGGGGGCGAGCGUUGUCCGGAUUUAUUGGGCGUAAAGAGCUCGUAGGCGGUUCAACAAGUCGGUCGUGAAAGUUCAGGGCUCAACCCUGAAAUGUCGAUCGAUACUGUUGUGACUAGGAUACGGUAGAGGUGAGUGGAAUUCCGAGUGUAGCGGUGAAAUGCGUAGAUAUUCGGAGGAACACCAAUUGCGAAGGCAGCUCACUGGGCCGCUAUCGACGCUGAGGAGCGAAAGCUAGGGGAGCAAACAGGAUUAGAUACCCUGGUAGUCCUAGCUGUAAACGAUGGAUACUAGACGUAGGAAUUGGAUUAACGAUUUCUGUGUCGUAGCUAACGCGUUAAGUAUCCCGCCUGGGGAGUACGGUCGCA
This 853-nucleotide ribosomal RNA is filed under the name uncultured bacterium. RNAcentral describes it as "bacterial SSU rRNA". It matches the Rfam family "Bacterial small subunit ribosomal RNA", at positions 32 to 890 of the family's 1533-position model. The record is from RNAcentral.